This 305-nucleotide long non-coding RNA is filed under the name Homo sapiens (human). Its description in RNAcentral is "non-protein coding lnc-RIPOR3-9:1". The record is from RNAcentral. Lineage: Eukaryota; Metazoa; Chordata; Mammalia; Primates; Hominidae.
GUCAUUCCGGGGCCGCUGGGGGCCUGGCUGGCGGCCUGUGGGGAUCUGGGGAUAAGUCAGUCUGUACCUUGGGGGGUUUGCACUCAUCUUUCCUCGCCCCCUCAGGACCCAGGGAGCUGGGAGGAUGUAGAAGCAGACCGAGCGCCUACUACGUGCCUGGCUCAGGGUCGGGCUGGGGUACGAGUGUAAAAACGCCGGGUGUUUCGCUGCGGCUGGGAGGUUUGGAUGCAGCUGCGCUAUUUUGGCGUUGCCUUGUCAAAACGGAAAAUUGCUUUGAUUAUCAAGUGAACUGUACCCCAGACACC